Molecule: ribosomal RNA, 1410 nt
Filed under: Kocuria rosea
Lineage: Bacteria; Bacillati; Actinomycetota; Actinomycetes; Micrococcales; Micrococcaceae
Description: bacterial SSU rRNA
Rfam family: Bacterial small subunit ribosomal RNA
Source: RNAcentral
GCAGUCGAACGAUGAUGCCCAGCUUGCUGGGCGGAUUAGUGGCGAACGGGUGAGUAAUACGUGAGUAACCUGCCCUUGACUCUGGGAUAAGCCUGGGAAACUGGGUCUAAUACUGGAUACUACCUCUUGCCGCAUGGUGGGUGGUGGAAAGGGUUUUACUGGUUUUGGAUGGGCUCACGGCCUAUCAGCUUGUUGGUGGGGUAAUGGCUCACCAAGGCGACGACGGGUAGCCGGCCUGAGAGGGUGACCGGCCACACUGGGACUGAGACACGGCCCAGACUCCUACGGGAGGCAGCAGUGGGGAAUAUUGCACAAUGGGCGGAAGCCUGAUGCAGCGACGCCGCGUGAGGGAUGACGGCCUUCGGGUUGUAAACCUCUUUCAGUAGGGAAGAAGCGAGAGUGACGGUACCUGCAGAAGAAGCGCCGGCUAACUACGUGCCAGCAGCCGCGGUAAUACGUAGGGCGCAAGCGUUGUCCGGAAUUAUUGGGCGUAAAGAGCUCGUAGGCGGUUUGUCGCGUCUGCUGUGAAAGCCCGGGGCUCAACCCCGGGUCUGCAGUGGGUACGGGCAGACUAGAGUGCAGUAGGGGAGACUGGAAUUCCUGGUGUAGCGGUGAAAUGCGCAGAUAUCAGGAGGAACACCGAUGGCGAAGGCAGGUCUCUGGGCUGUUACUGACGCUGAGGAGCGAAAGCAUGGGGAGCGAACAGGAUUAGAUACCCUGGUAGUCCAUGCCGUAAACGUUGGGCACUAGGUGUGGGGGACAUUCCACGUUUUCCGCGCCGUAGCUAACGCAUUAAGUGCCCCGCCUGGGGAGUACGGCCGCAAGGCUAAAACUCAAAGGAAUUGACGGGGGCCCGCACAAGCGGCGGAGCAUGCGGAUUAAUUCGAUGCAACGCGAAGAACCUUACCAAGGCUUGACAUUCACCGGACCGCCCCAGAGAUGGGGUUUCCCUUCGGGGCUGGUGGACAGGUGGUGCAUGGUUGUCGUCAGCUCGUGUCGUGAGAUGUUGGGUUAAGUCCCGCAACGAGCGCAACCCUCGUUCUAUGUUGCCAGCACGUGAUGGUGGGGACUCAUAGGAGACUGCCGGGGUCAACUCGGAGGAAGGUGGGGAUGACGUCAAAUCAUCAUGCCCCUUAUGUCUUGGGCUUCACGCAUGCUACAAUGGCCGGUACAAAGGGUUGCGAUACUGUGAGGUGGAGCUAAUCCCAAAAAGCCGGUCUCAGUUCGGAUUGAGGUCUGCAACUCGACCUCAUGAAGUCGGAGUCGCUAGUAAUCGCAGAUCAGCAACGCUGCGGUGAAUACGUUCCCGGGCCUUGUACACACCGCCCGUCAAGUCACGAAAGUUGGUAACACCCGAAGCCGGUGGCCUAACCCCUUGUGGGAGGGAGCCGUCGAAGGUGGGACUGGCGA